CAACCCUCAGACACCUGUAUGUCUGGCGUUGGGGCAUUCUAUAGCGCUUGCUAUAGGCCUUGAAAAUCAGUGGCAGGCCCUUCACAGACCCUGAACGCAGUAAUUUUCUCUUCGUUUCCGGUGUCUUGAAGGCUGCUUAGCCGUCAAACCUUCAAAAAGUUUUCAGAA
RNAcentral lists this unclassified non-coding RNA (168 nucleotides) under uncultured Ascomycota. RNAcentral's name for it is "sequence contains ITS2". The record is from RNAcentral. Lineage: Eukaryota; Fungi; Ascomycota.